AAAAGUACUGCCUAUAGCUCUUUAAAUGAAUAUUAAAGGACUGGUAAAAAGCAGGAAUGUAUUCAUUUGGGAGAAAUCUUUACUGCUUAUGCCUCAGAAACGACGUUAAAAACUAAACUAGUUGGAACAAAGACAGUCUCUGCACUUCAGCUGAAAGAAAGUGAAAGGCUUACAGAGGAUGUACGAGCUCCUUGCACAGGACAAACACCACCACUCUUCAGGACCAAGAAGAUGGAAGGAAGUAAACCUGACCUGUGGGAAGCAUCUCUCAACCCAUCCAGAUGUAUGGAACUCAUUGCUUAACACUGCAAAGUUGUUUAUACAGGUUUAUACGAUCUCCAUAUCUGUUCAGCUGCUGUUAGGCUGCCAACAAAUGGACUGCGUCACACUGGGUUUUGUGAGGAUUUUUGCAAUCCAGAUGCUUGUGCAGAAGAAACAGGAUGUAUACAGUCCAUUCACUAAACUCUUAAAUAAAAAAUGGUAUUCUGAGCCCCAUAAAAGCUAUUAAAAACAAGACACAAAAUUAAACUUAGUAACUUCUAAGAUGAAAACUUGUAGCUGUAUUACCUACUCCUGCAACCUGUGCCAGCCUUUCCUUUUCAUCCAAUAGUUGGUGUCUCUAACAAAUAUGUUGACUUCUUACCAUUUCCCCUGGUAUGUAAACAACUAAUUCAUUUAUUGGUGCUGAAUUAUAAUUGUAUGAGAUACAAAAGAAAUAUAAAUCAAAAGAAUGUACAUCCAGGCUGACAUAACAAUAAAAAUUAUUAUAAACCCUCUC
Columba livia (rock pigeon) is the source of this 778-nucleotide long non-coding RNA. RefSeq lists it as uncharacterized. Lineage: Eukaryota; Metazoa; Chordata; Aves; Columbiformes; Columbidae. The transcript has 3 exons. The record is from RefSeq and is a predicted model, not a curated record.